UACGUAGGGUGCGAGCGUUGUCCGGAAUUACUGGGCGUAAAGAGCUCGUAGGUGGUUUGUCGCGUUGUUCGUGAAAACUCACAGCUUAACUGUGGGCGUGCGGGCGAUACGGGCAGACUGGAGUACUGCAGGGGAGACUGGAAUUCCUGGUGUAGCGGUGGAAUGCGCAGAUAUCAGGAGGAACACCGGUGGCGAAGGCGG
Molecule: ribosomal RNA, 201 nt
Filed under: uncultured bacterium
Lineage: Bacteria
Description: partial 16S ribosomal RNA
Rfam family: Bacterial small subunit ribosomal RNA
Source: RNAcentral